GUGAUGAGGUGCUUUUUGUAGAACGAGCCAACGAGUUACGGUAUGUAGCAAGGUUAAGUACUUAAGGUACGGAGCCGAAGGGAAACCGAGUCUGAAUAGGGCGACUAGUUGCAUGCCGUAGACCCGAAACCGGGUGACCUAUCCAUGGCCAGGUUGAAGCGAGGGUAAAACCUCGUGGAGGACCGAACCACGUUGCUGUUGAAAAAGCAUGGGAUGAGCUGUGGAUAGCGGAGAAAUUCCAAUCGAACCCGGAGAUAGCUGGUUCUCUCCGAAAUAGCUUUAGGGCUAGCGUCGAGUAUGAGUAGUGGAGGUAGAGCACUGAAUGGGCUAGGGGGCAUAGCGCUUACCGAACCUUAUCAAACUCCGAAUGCCACAUACUUUGAGCUCGGCAGUCAGACUACGAAUGAUAAGAUCCGUGGUCAAAAGGGAAACAGCCCAGAUCGUCAGCUAAGGUCCCAAAGUGUAAGUUAAGUGGGAAAGGAUGUGAGAUUUCUAAGACAACUAGGAUGUUGGCUUAGAAGCAGCCAUUCAUUAAAAGAGUGCGUAAUAGCUCACUAGUCGAGAGAUCUUGCGCCGAAAAUGUAACGGGGCUAAACUUACC
RNAcentral lists this ribosomal RNA (601 nucleotides) under Clostridium perfringens. RNAcentral describes it as "partial 23S ribosomal RNA". It matches the Rfam family "Bacterial large subunit ribosomal RNA", at positions 593 to 1192 of the family's 2925-position model. Lineage: Bacteria; Bacillati; Bacillota; Clostridia; Eubacteriales; Clostridiaceae. The record is from RNAcentral.